GCUUGAGCUGGUUAUAUCUGCAUGGCCUUCAGAGCAUAGCUUCAGGGUGAGCUGGCCCCAUCUCUGCUGGAGUUUCCUUCCCCAGAAAGCCAGACACCCUUGAUCUCUCCUUAGGCUAGAGCAAGGGCCGGUAUAUGUUAGCAAUGUAUAUAAUCAUAGAGUUUGUGCUCGAGUCCUGGCUUAACCUGGCAGGACCAAGGAAACCUGAAAUAUUACUCCAGUAUUAAUAACAGGUUAUAGUAGUAAUAAUGAUGAUGUGACCUGAAAUAUCUAAGAGCUCCUGAUGGGUUUUAUGUAUUGAUUGCUUCAAACUUUUUUUAAAGCUGCAGGUGCAUGGGUGAGAAAUCAGUCUCCUAAGCACAACAGAUAGAUAGAUUCUUACAUAGAAUUCUACUCUUCAUAGCCAGCAGAAGGUAUGAAUCAUACAAGAUUAUAAUGGCCAAUUAUAAUAUUAUAUCAGUUGGAAAAUGGCUCAUUGGGGUACCUGCUUUGCAAAGAGGAACACAUCAGCACAUGAAUAAAAUUGCAAGUGAAGAGAAGAAUUGAUUAAAUAUGGCUUUAGGAGGGUGUGAAGAAGUUUUCUAUCAAUACUUAAAGGUAUUGAUCUGCAUAUUCAAAAGACGAUAAUGAGUUUAGAGGGAGAGUUCCAUUUUUGGGUGCCCUAUUUUAGGCAAUUUAGGUAACAAUUUUGAGUUUAAAGGCAUUAGUACUUAGCAUUCUCCAAAAAUCUAGUACUGGGCUCACUGAAUAAUGCAUUUCUUAAAAAAAAAAAUAAAAAAAAAAUCAGGACAUCUCAAAAACAUUUGCAGUUAUAAUUUGUAGGAAUUUUUUUAAAGUGUCAUUUCAGAGCCAGCACACAAACAGGUUCAACCUCUCUGAAGAUAAUGGCUGUUUACCAAUCCCUGACUGGCUUUAGCCUGCAAAUACAUGACCUGAUUUUUGAUCAGUAAAAUGGCUAGAUCAUGAUGUUAUAAUCCAGCAAUAUAGAAAAAAAGAGGACUUUUAAACUGCAGUCAAAGGUAUGAUCACAGCUGAGUGAACUUAACCUACUGAAUCCAGCUGCCACCUCUACAGUGGUGAAGAAGACACUUCUGCUCAGGCUGUACAAACCCACUACAGUUUCUGGGAAAGUGUUUGGACUGAAAGCCAAAACCCUGUCCUGAAAGCUGGAAGGCAAAGAUCUGUUCAAAACUACUGUCAUUCAAAGCUAAACAAAUUAAAGCUAAACUUCCAGUGGCAGGGCUGUUAUCUCCAGGCAAAAAUUACUCUUGGGUCAAGAAACGAAAGGGUGGGCACUUCAGAUAAAAUCAUGUUUCCAAAACACUUAUAAGCUACAAUAUCCUUUCCAGACGUGGAAAGCUCAUCCAGAAUGAAGGAGCACCUCAAUAACUGUUAAUGAAGAACAUAACGUUCUAGCUUUUGGGGCUAUAUCUUUUUAGAAUAGGAAAUAUCUCCUGAAGCACUUCCUUUCAUCUAUGUUUACUGUGAUCCAAGUCAUUGAAAUGGAAGUUUUCAAAGCACUUACACGGUCCUGUUUCAUUACUGAAUGUGAGUUAAGCUUUUGGGACUUUGCAUCCAUUAGGAUGCCAUUAUAAAGAAAUCUGAAAGACAGAAUUUUGACUUAGAAGUUUGGCUUAUAAAUUUGGCUUAUAAGUGCUCUGGAAAAUGCUAUUUUAUCUAUGAUUCCCAAGCUUGCAUUUCUUGGCCAAAGAAAUAAGGCUGUAACAGAGCAAGGAAGUGAAUGUAGACAUCCCAAAUGCCAAGGUAGUCUGUUCGACUUCAAUGUGUCAAAAAAAUGGCUACCUUGAAUUCAUGUGUGAGGGUAACAGAUUAUCUAGUGAAUUUUGGGGAGUUAAAGAACACUCCUCAUGUCAGACCAUUCAAAUGCUUAUGUGUAAUAUAAUAGUUAUUUCCAGGUCAGUUUUCCUCCAUUCUCCUCUAACUACAUAGCCCUGAUGGAGACUGAUCUAAGAUCUGAAGAUACUAAUGGAAACUGUAGUGGAAAUACCAUGAUUUCCAUUUGUUUCUGUAGAUCCCAGAAGAAACCACCUAAGAGAAAAACUGAAGAACCACAAAGGAACAAAAAUAGCUAGUGCUGGUCAUUGAGCUGUCAUUGUAGAAGCUUUUGUCUUGAAAUGGAGACAUUCACCUAAAAGCACGUUAAGCCAAGCAUGCUUAUCUCCAGAAGUAUUUCUAUACUGAUUCUGGAAAUCAGGUACUUAUUAAUAAGUGGGAAAGAUUCAAUAUAGUUACUUCCCUGUGCACUAUCAGAAAAGACAAAAAUAAUUCCCUGGCCUGCUUUAGGCACAGAAAGUAGCAAGAUAGGAAAAGGCUUUUCUUCUUUUUGCACUUUUUUUCUCUCACCCAUGGUGCACAGCACUGAACACAGUAAAUUUAUUUUGCAGUUCAUAACAUGUCAGCUUUGCUGUGUUUCUUUUAGCAGGGGAAGAUAAUUUCUUAAACUUUUAUCAAAUUUUUGCUUCGCUCCUGCUCUCCCAGAGCUCAUAAUGCAAAUGCUUUCAGCUUUUCUAUUUCUUUGCUUGCAUCCAUUCUACUUUGAAAGAGCAUUAUAUAUAAUUUUGCUCCCUUUUCAUGCUCUUUUAUGAAACUCAGAGCUUAAUGUUUGCAAGAAACUUAUGCUGCUGGUAAGCUUUCAUUCUGGAAACACAGGGAGGUGUCUGCUUGACAGUUACCUGUACUGCUGCUGAGGCCGUCUCUGCAGGGGUCUCACCUGGCCUGGCUUGGGCCAAAUCAGCAAUAUGAAAAGGCAUUUUGAGUGUGAAAGAUAAAACCUUUUUUCUCACACUCUCUGCCAGGAAACCCCACCUAUUCAGGAAAAAAAACCCCAAAC
Molecule: long non-coding RNA, 2851 nt
Organism: Aquila chrysaetos chrysaetos
Lineage: Eukaryota; Metazoa; Chordata; Aves; Accipitriformes; Accipitridae
Exons: 2
Source: RefSeq, a predicted model, not a curated record